RNAcentral lists this ribosomal RNA (595 nucleotides) under uncultured bacterium. Its description in RNAcentral is "bacterial SSU rRNA". It matches the Rfam family "Bacterial small subunit ribosomal RNA", at positions 338 to 944 of the family's 1533-position model. The record is from RNAcentral.
CCUACGGGAGGCAGCAGUAGGGAAUUUUCCGCAAUGGGCGAAAGCCUGACGGAGCAAUACCGCGUGAGGGAUGACGGCCUGUGGGUUGUAAACCUCUUUUCUCAAGGAAGAAGUUCUGACGGUACUUGAGGAAUAAGCAUCGGCUAACUCUGUGCCAGCAGCCGCGGUAAUGCAGAGGAUGCAAGCGUUAUCCGGAAUCACUGGGCAUAAAGCGUCUGUAGGUUGUUUAGUAAGUCUGCUGUUAAAGACUGGGGCUUAACCCCAGAAAAGCAGUGGAAACUGCUAGACUCGAGUGUGGUAGAGGUAGAGGGAAUUCCUAGUGUAGCGGUGAAAUGCGUAGAUAUUAGGAAGAACACCAAUGGCGAAGGCACUCUACUGGGCCAUAACUGACACUGAGAGACGACAGCUAGGGGAGCAAACGGGAUUAGAUACCCCGGUAGUCCUAGCCGUAAACGAUGGAUACUAGAUGUUGCACGUAUUAACCCGUGCAGUAUCGUAGCUAAGGCGUUAAGUAUCCCGCCUGGGAAGUACGCUCGCAGAGUGAAACUCAAAGGAUUGACGGCUGAGACNGCGACGACGACGACGAGGGAGGAGG